Cucurbita pepo subsp. pepo (vegetable marrow) is the source of this 603-nucleotide non-coding RNA. Lineage: Eukaryota; Viridiplantae; Streptophyta; Magnoliopsida; Cucurbitales; Cucurbitaceae. The record is from RefSeq and is a predicted model, not a curated record.
CAGAAUUGAAUUUAUUUGUUCAAUCCCUUUAAGUAACAUGUUCAUAUGCUCUCAAACUAGGGAGGACAAAUUUUGUUCACCUAGAAAUGCUUCCAAAAGGGGAAUGGCCAAAAUGGUGUAGAGCUUGUGGCGGGAGCGGUCUUGGCUAUUGCUCUCGUUGCCUCGGGACAGGAGAGUAUCGGUAUAUUAUGGGGUUCCAAUUCAUGAAGAUGGAGGACAAUGAAAAUGAAACUCAGGAUGUCAUGAAGUAUGAAAAUCAAACCAACCAACAACAUCGAGGUCCCAGAGGCGCAGAGUCUCUUCUACGUGAUGAGUCGAGUUCAGAGCCAGAAAUUUGAGAGAAGGUACAUGGCGUGGUAAUGGUAGAACAGCUAGGAUACAAUUUGACUAUACAUUUUGGAUGGAUCAUAAAAAGGCAGUCUAAUCAGAGGCCAAUUUGACAUAAGCUUAAAGGGGACAAUGGUUCAUCUGUAUCUCUCACUUCUGUAACUGUUGAACUAAAACAAUAAAUCAGCUAACUUAGAUAAGACAUCAUACCCUCAACGACACAUUGAGAGACUUGAAUCCAAUCUAGAAAAUAAUUGGAUUAUCUUUUUUUCUUCA